CGACGAUCUGUAGCGGGUCUGAGAGGAUGAUCCGCCACACUGGAACUGAGACACGGUCCAGACUCCUACGGGAGGCAGCAGUGGGGAAUUUUGGACAAUGGGGGCAACCCUGAUCCAGCCAUGCCGCGUGAGUGAAGAAGGCCUUCGGGUUGUAAAGCUCUUUCGGCCGGGAAGAAAUCGCAUGGGCCAAUACCCUGUGUGGAUGACGGUACCGGAAUAAGAAGCACCGGCUAACUACGUGCCAGCAGCCGCGGUAAUACGUAGGGUGCGAGCGUUAAUCGGAAUUACUGGGCGUAAAGCGUGCGCAGGCGGUUUUGUAAGACAGGCGUGAAAUCCCCGGGCUCAACCUGGGAACUGCGUUUGUGACUGCAAGGCUAGAGUACGGCAGAGGGGGGUGGAAUUCCACGUGUAGCAGUGAAAUGCGUAGAGAUGUGGAGGAACACCAAUGGCGAAGGCAGCCCCCUGGGUCGAUACUGACGCUCAUGCACGAAAGCGUGGGUAGCAAACAGGAUUAGAUACCCUGGUAGUCCACGCCCUAAACUAUGUCAACUAGGUGUUGGGUGGGUAAAACCAUUUAGUACCGUAGCUAACGCGUGAAGUUGACCGCCUGGGGAGUGCGGCCGCAAGGUUAAAACUCAAAGGAAUUGACGGGGACCCGCACAAGCGGUGGAUGAUGUGGAUUAAUUCGAUGCAACGCGAAAAACCUUACCUACCCUUGACAUGCCAGGAACUUGCCAGAGAUGGCUUGGUGCCCGAAAGGGAGCCUGGACACAGGUGCUGCAUGGCUGUCGUCAGCUCGUGUCGUGAGAUGUUGGGUUAAGUCCCGCAACGAGCGCAACCCUUGUCGUUAAUUGCCAUCAUUUAGUUGGGCACUUUAGCGAGACUGCCGGUGACAAACCGGAGGAAGGUGGGGAUGACGUCAAGUCCUCAUGGCCCUUAUGGGUAGGGCUUCACACGUCAUACAAUGGUCGGUACAAAGGGUCGCCAAGCCGCGAGGUGAAGCCAAUCCCAGAAAGCCGAUCGUAGUCCGGAUUGCAGGCUGCAACUCGCCUGCAUGAAGUCGGAAUCGCUAGUAAUCGUGGAUCAGCAUGUCACGGUGAAUACGUUCCCGGGUCUUGUACACACCGCCCGUCACACCAUGGGAGCGGGUUCCGCCAGAAGUAGGUAGCCUAACCGCAAGGAGGGCGCUUACCACGGCGG
This 1200-nucleotide ribosomal RNA is filed under the name metagenome. Its description in RNAcentral is "bacterial SSU rRNA". It matches the Rfam family "Bacterial small subunit ribosomal RNA", at positions 274 to 1465 of the family's 1533-position model. The record is from RNAcentral.